AGAUGAGCAAGAAGGGGUGCUGAAGAGAGGCAAAGAGUUUGAAGAACAGAGGGCCCAAGAGGAGGGAGGACAGAGGGAUAGAAGUGGCAGCACCUACUGCCCUCGAGGUUCUGGUCGUGGAGGAAAAGCCACCAGGAACCUCUGCCACUGAGUGAAAAAGCAGGUUGUGGCCCUUGGGGCAAAAAUUAAAAGCCAGUAGCAGAAGGAAAAGGGAAGUGCUCUCCUGAAAGCCUGACUCCAGGGGCCUGGUGUGCUUACUUUUGGGGGGAAAAAAGAAAGGUGCCCAGAGAGAUGGAGAGCUAGGGGGUUGUGGGCUAAAUAAAGGGAGAUGGAGAUAAAAAGUGAGAGAGCCAGGGAAAAACUAAAAUGAGAUAUGAGGGCUUCAGCUAAUCAAUUCACCUCAUAAAGCCUCGGUUCUUUGGUUUUAGAAAUGAAACCAGGUGUGGUGCCUGCCUCUAAUCCCAGCACUCUUUGUGGCUGAGGCAGGAGGACCUCAGGUCGGAGUCCAGCCUGAGCAAUUUAAGUAUUCAGCCAGAUCUUGGCUCAAAGUAAAAAGGGCUGGGGAUGUAGCUCAGCCCAAAGGUCCUGAGUUCAAUCCCCAGUACCAAAAAGGUAGCAGGGUGUUGGUGGUGUCCAACGAUCCCACUUGGGGGCUAAAGCAGAGCCUGAGCCAGCCUGGGCUACAGAGUUCAAGGGUAGCCUAUAUAAGACUGGCCUAUGUAAGAAGACUCUAUCUCAAAAGAAGCAAAUAAAAAAAAAAACAAAGGAAUAAUCCUCACAUCCUGGUUUUGAUCCCCAGCAUUGCUACAACACCUGCAAGAAAAACAAAGGAAUAAUGUUUUUGGUACCUUCGAUGGGGAUGUGUUGGAAAAUUAAAUGAGAUUAAGCAGGUUAAGUGCUUACCACAUAACAGAGGCCCAGAAAAAAAAGGAGAAGAGCACAUUGGGGGAACACUACGUCCUUGAAGAAGGUGCUGUGGAUGGAGUCCCCUGGGCUCAGGCAUGACAGGCAAGGACUGUACCACUGAGCUACAGCUACAGCCCAGCGUAAACCCCAAGAAUAGUUCUCUCAGAGCAACUCAUGUGGCCAGCAAUUCUUUAUUUGAAGAUAAGCUCUAAAUGUUAUAGGAAAAAAAUCAAUAAAAUACAGAAAAAUAUUUUUAACAAUAGUGCC
RNAcentral lists this long non-coding RNA (1173 nucleotides) under Heterocephalus glaber (naked mole-rat). Its description in RNAcentral is "lncRNA (ENSHGLG00100034925.1)". The record is from RNAcentral. Lineage: Eukaryota; Metazoa; Chordata; Mammalia; Rodentia; Bathyergidae.